GGAAGAUAAAGAAGGGGAAACGGGGAAGGAUAGAGGGGACGAUUGGAGAGAGGGAGACGAGAAGAGGGAGGCGUAGAGAUGGAGAGGAGAAGAGGGAGGGAAGAGAGUGACGGAGGGAGACGGGCAUCUCCGCCUUUUGUGGAGUUCCGCCGGAACAUGGAGGGAGGAGGGUCGCCGUCCUAGUUGUUGCUUUGCGGGCUGUUGUCAGCGCCGGACGCUGCUGCUCGCCAUUGGUGGAGCAACGAGACGGAGGCAUCAAGGAGCAGGGAGGAGGAAGAGAGAGGGAGGAG
Molecule: unclassified non-coding RNA, 290 nt
Filed under: Hevea brasiliensis (rubber tree)
Lineage: Eukaryota; Viridiplantae; Streptophyta; Magnoliopsida; Malpighiales; Euphorbiaceae
Source: RNAcentral